Molecule: ribosomal RNA, 253 nt
Filed under: uncultured bacterium
Lineage: Bacteria
Description: partial 16S ribosomal RNA
Rfam family: Bacterial small subunit ribosomal RNA
Source: RNAcentral
UACAGAGGGGGCAAGCGUUGUUCGGAAUUACUGGGCGUAAAGGGCGCGUAGGCGGCCUGCUAAGUCGGACGUGAAAUCCCUGGGCUCAACCCAGGAACUGCGUCCGAUACUGGUUGGCUUGAGUUCGGGAGAGGGAUGUGGAAUUCCAGGUGUAGCGGUGAAAUGCGUAGAUAUCUGGAGGAACACCGGUGGCGAAGGCGGCAUCCUGGACCGAGAUUGACGCUGAGGCGCGAAAGCCAGGGGAGCAAACGGG